CCCCACCUACAGGAGGCGGGUUCUAGUCCCGCCUACAGGAGGCGGAGACCUUCCAACGGGGCGGAGCAAUAGAUAGAAAAAGAUUAAUUACAAGAGGCGGACCUCCACAUAGUGUAUUGGCGGUCGACCAAUCGGGCACAUUCUCAGGAUAUCAGCUGACCAUUCCGGGGAUCUCAUCAUUUUGACCAUCAUUGAGAAAACUGGAGUGGGGGUUAGUGGACGUGUUGGAAAAUGGCUCUCAGUUAUCCACCGUAUUUCUCCUACUUCGGAAGUAGAUGCAGGAAGACAAAGAGACAGACGUGCUGAGGCCCAAUGGAGAAAACAACACAAAAGGAGUUACAACAUCAGACUGGUGAUAGAAGGAUGACUCAACAAGACCCUACGGCUUUGCCAUGAAGAGAGGUUACACAGGCGGAGGCUGUUCAAACAGUUGCUCUACAUGACGACAACGACAACAGUCACAAGAAAGAGUUGAACUUGGACGGCAGUCAGAUGACUAGCAACAGCAGCUUUAAAAUGCAACCCAGGCUCAACUAGUCUAUCACCUCAACAAAACGGGAAUCAAUGUAUAUGUAGUCAGGCCUGCUAAUCAGUUCCAGGACUGAUUCUGUGGAACUGGUAAACUUGUUUUAAAAUUAAGACUAACAGAAUUACAAACAGAAAGUUUCUUCUUGGAUGUAUUGUCAAGAAUAGAUUCACUCUUAUGGAAGAAUAUCUUUAGUUAUAAAACAAAAAUGUCCUGUUCUACAAGUUUUUAUAACCUGAAU
Molecule: long non-coding RNA, 767 nt
Organism: Branchiostoma floridae (Florida lancelet)
Lineage: Eukaryota; Metazoa; Chordata; Leptocardii; Amphioxiformes; Branchiostomatidae
Exons: 3
Source: RefSeq, a predicted model, not a curated record